CGGCCGGCCGGUCUCGCCCGUGUGAAGCUCCUUCGACGAGUCGAGUUGUUUGGGAAUGCAGCUCCAAAUGGGUGGUAAAUUUCAUCUAAAGCUAAAAUACUGGUCGGAGACCGAUAGCGCACAAGUAGAGUGAUCGAAAGAUGAAAAGCACUUUGAAAAGAGAGUUAAACAGCAUGUGAAAUUGUUGAAAGGGAAGCGCUUGCGACCAGAGUCGGCCGUGGGGGUUCAGCGGGCAUUCGUUGCCCGUGCAAUCCCCCGCUGGCCGGGCCAGCGUCGGUUUCGACGGCCGGUCAAAGGCUCCCGGAAUGUGUCGCCUCUCGGGGCGUCUUAUAGCCGGGGGUGCAAUGCGGCCAGUCGGGACCGAGGAACGCGCUCCGGCACGGACGCUGGCUUAAUGGUCGUCAGCGACCCGUCUUGAAACACGGACCAAGGAGUCUAACAUCCACGCGAGUGUUCGGGUGUCAAACCCGUCCGCGCAGUGAAAGCGAACGGAGGUGGGAACCCCUGAGGGUGCACCAUCGACCGAUCCUGAAGUCUUCGG
RNAcentral lists this ribosomal RNA (541 nucleotides) under Histoplasma capsulatum. Its description in RNAcentral is "eukaryotic LSU rRNA". It matches the Rfam family "Eukaryotic large subunit ribosomal RNA", at positions 225 to 783 of the family's 3401-position model. Lineage: Eukaryota; Fungi; Ascomycota; Eurotiomycetes; Onygenales; Ajellomycetaceae. The record is from RNAcentral.